CAAUAGCGUAUAUUAAAGUUGUUGCAGUUAAAAAGCUCGUAGUUGGAUUUCUGGCAGGAGCGACCGGUCCGCCGCAAGGUGUGCACUAGGUUGUCUCCAGUCAUCUUUGUGGGAACUGCUCUGGCAUUAGGUUGUCGGGGUUAGGGAACACAUCGUUUACUGUGAAAAAUUAGAGUGUUUAAAGCAGGCUUAUGCCGUUGAAUACAUUAGCAUGGAAUAAUAGAAUAGGACUUUGGUUCUAUUUUGUUGGUUUCUAGGACCGAGGUAAUGAUUAAUAGGGACAGUUGGGGGCAUUAGUAUUUAAUUGUCAGAGGUGAAAUUCUUGGAUUUAUGAAAGACUAACUACUGCGAAAGCAUUUGCCAAGGAUGUUUUCAUUAAUCAAGAACGAAAGUUAGGGGAUCGAAGACGAUUAGAUACCAU
RNAcentral lists this ribosomal RNA (421 nucleotides) under uncultured eukaryote. RNAcentral describes it as "bacterial SSU rRNA". It matches the Rfam family "Eukaryotic small subunit ribosomal RNA", at positions 592 to 1018 of the family's 1831-position model. The record is from RNAcentral.